This is a long non-coding RNA of Etheostoma spectabile (orangethroat darter), 112 nucleotides long. RefSeq lists it as uncharacterized. Lineage: Eukaryota; Metazoa; Chordata; Actinopteri; Perciformes; Percidae. The transcript has 3 exons. The record is from RefSeq and is a predicted model, not a curated record.
UCCAAUAACAGCAGACUUUGAAGCUGUAGUGCGUAACUUUGAUACCAAUGAACGUCCGUUACAUUCAAGCCAUUGACAAAUGAGCUGCUACAAAGCUAAUUACUAUAGACUA